RNAcentral lists this ribosomal RNA (497 nucleotides) under uncultured bacterium. RNAcentral's name for it is "partial 16S ribosomal RNA". It matches the Rfam family "Bacterial small subunit ribosomal RNA", at positions 28 to 507 of the family's 1533-position model. The record is from RNAcentral.
GAUGAACGCUGGCGGCGUGCCUAAUACAUGCAAGUCGAGCGAACAGACGAGGAGCUUGCUCCUCUGACGUUAGCGGCGGACGGGUGAGUAACACGUGGAUAACCUACCUAUAAGACUGGGAUAACUUCGGGAAACCGGAGCUAAUACCGGAUAAUAUAUUGAACCGCAUGGUUCAAUAGUGAAAGACAGUUUUGCUGUCACUUAUAGAUGGAUCCGCGCCGCAUUAGCUAGUUGGUAAGGUAACGGCUUACCAAGGCAACGAUGCGUAGCCGACCUGAGAGGGUGAUCGGCCACACUGGAACUGAGACACGGUCCAGACUCCUACGGGAGGCAGCAGUAGGGAAUCUUCCGCAAUGGGCGAAAGCCUGACGGAGCGACGCCGCGUGAGUGAUGAAGGUCUUCGGAUCGUAAAACUCUGUUAUUAGGGAAGAACAAAUGUGUAAGUAACUAUGCACGUCUUGACGGUACCUAAUCAGAAAGCCACGGCUAACUACGUG